AUGACAUCACAAUACCCCAUAAUGACAUCACAAUACCCCAUAAUGACAUCACAAUACCCCAUAAUGACAUCACAAUACCCCAUAAUGACAACACAAUACCCCAUAAUGACAUCACAAUACCCCAUAAUGACAUCACAAUACCCCAUAAUGACAUCACCAUACCCCAUAAUGACAUCACAAUACCCCAUAAUGACAUCACAAUACCCCAUAAUGACAUCACAAUACCCCAUAAUGACAUCACAAUUAUGGGGUAUUGUGAUGUCAUUAUGGGGUAUUGUGAUGUCAUUAUGGGGUAUUGUGAUGUCAUUAUGGGGUAUUGUGAUGUCAUUAUGGGGUAUUGUGAUGUCAUUAUGGGGUAUUGUGAUGUCAUUAUGGGGUAUUGUGAUGUCAUUAUGGGGUAUUGGUUGUAGAUUGAUGAGGGGAAAAAAACAACAAUUGAAUACAUUUUAGAAUAAGGCUGUAACCUAAACAAAAUGUGGAGAGAGUCAAGGGGUCUGAAUACUUUCCGAAUGCACUGUAUAUCUCCUAGUUUUAGGACAGACACUUCAAAACCUUGUUCCCGAUGAUUUCUUUUUUGACUGUCUCAUUUUUUUGCCAUUUAUGAAUGUGUUAUUCAAUGCGUUUAUCUGGGCUAUAGCAGAAAAGGACAAAUUCUGUUUCAUCAAAUAUUAUUUAUUUUUAUUCCUACAGGGUUCCUAAAAUUUUAAAUAAAUCUUAAAACAAUUCCAUAAUGUAUGUUAUCUUAGUAGAGAUUGAUAUCUAAGUGCUGAAACCUAAAGGGUGAACAUGGUCCUGAUAGAAACUCGUCUGCUUCCUCGUUCUGAACUAUUGCUCAGUUUAGUACCAGUGCAGUAAUAGCACCAAGCGACCACUAGAUGGGGGUGUAGGACCACUACAUAAGGAAGUGUCCUGUACUGUGUAAUAUAUUAGUAGUCAACACAGAACUUGGCUUCUGCAGCCAAAGACGAGCUUUUGAAGUCAACAUAUCUACUGCGUUUUACACUGUAAUUUAAUCUCACGCUAACACAGUUUAAUUGUGUGUGUGAGUGAAAAAGAGAGGGAACGGUGUGUGUGUGUGUGUGUGUGUGUGUGUGUGUGUGUGUGUGUGUGUACGCUCCGAUACAAUGUGUCUUUGUGAGUCCUUGGCAUGCGGUCAGAACUGUUUGGAUAUCAGUGAAAGGAGAGGGAAUGAGAGGGAUAUCAGUGAAAGGAGAGAGUGAAUGAGACAAAGAGAGAGGAAGGGCGGUGAAAGGGGGAGGGAGAGAGAGAGUGAAAGAUGGGAGAGAGAGAGAGUGAAAGACGGGAGAGAGAGAGAAUGAAAGACGGCAGAGAGAGAGGAAGGGCGGUGAAAGAGGGAGGGAGGGAGAGAGAGAGUG
RNAcentral lists this long non-coding RNA (1376 nucleotides) under Oncorhynchus mykiss (rainbow trout). Its description in RNAcentral is "lncRNA (ENSOMYG00000076851.1)". Lineage: Eukaryota; Metazoa; Chordata; Actinopteri; Salmoniformes; Salmonidae. The record is from RNAcentral.